This is a long non-coding RNA of Bradysia coprophila, 761 nucleotides long. The record is from RefSeq and is a predicted model, not a curated record. NCBI's taxonomy places the organism in Eukaryota, Metazoa, Arthropoda, Insecta, Diptera, Sciaridae.
UUUCUAAGACACUUCUUUGAGAUAUGUAACGUCUACCGGUGAGUAUACUUUCAAAAUGCCCUAUCUAUAACAAACUUGUUUGACGGGACAGAAAGAGACAGAUUUCUUACCGACCAUGUUUGCAAGACAUCAAAACCAAUACCCCUUAAAGCUGCUCAUACGCUAAGUAUAUAUAACAACCACAUGUACAACCAACGGAACAUCUGAUAACUAAAAACACCAACACCGUUUUACAGUAAAAAAAAAUAACUUCAAGAAAUAAAUACAGCUCAGCGGUUGUCGUCUUAUGUUCAGUUCAUUUUAAUGUUUUAGUAGAAUCGGUGUGUCUCCUUAUUUCUUGCUAUUUUCAAUAUUUCUGUUGGAACGAAACACAAGUGCCAUUUAUUAUCGUACGACAGACCCACUUCGAGAUUGUUCUUUAAUUUAAUGAAGACAAAAAAUUAUCUUAAAGAGAUAAGGAAUCGACAGAUUGACUAAAUUUUAUUCAAGUGAAUCGACACUUAAUAGAAAUAAAUCAGAAUAUCGGGCGACUACACAAAGACAUUUUUAAGUGAACAUUGCUUAGUGAAAGUACAAACAGGGAGUGUGCUGUGAAUUGAUAACAUUCGUUGAACUUUAAUCUAAAAUAUUUUGGCAACGCACGAAAUAUAAAAAAAACACUCACAAAUCGCAUUUGACCUUUCCAAUUAAAAUUCAUCACUUGAAUCCAAUCUCGACGCGAUAAGAGCACACUUGAACAUUAUACCAUCAUCAAGCGUUUA